RNAcentral lists this long non-coding RNA (861 nucleotides) under Homo sapiens (human). RNAcentral's name for it is "non-protein coding lnc-EPHA4-2:1". The record is from RNAcentral. Lineage: Eukaryota; Metazoa; Chordata; Mammalia; Primates; Hominidae.
AUAUCCUCUCUGUCCACGUUCGUUGUGGACGGGGUCACCAGGAAGAUGGUUCCUGGGUGAUGAGAGUGUCCAGGACAUUGUCUUCGGUGGACUACUGGCACAGGGACCUGAAUAAGACACUGGGAUUUACAAAGUGGAAAAGAAAUCACUGAGGGAUCCCUCAAGCCACUGAAAACAUGUACCAUUUGCCAUAAAACAGCAUUAAACAUUAAGUCAACAGAUUGCACAUGAAUAUCAACAAUCCUGCAAAAAAAGCCAGUCCCUUAAGAAACAUCAAGAUUGACAGUUGUCAUCAGAGAAAUGAUGAGGACCAGGAUCUUCAGGGUACCAUCUGGUGCUGUGUUUGAAGAAAAUGAGAAUGAGAGAUAUUUCCUCAAUAGAUGAAACUAUUGGCCCCAGCUCCAAAUUCACACUUGUUGCAGCAGUUAAUUCUGCAAAAUCACAGAAGGAAAAAAAGUCAGGCCAAGGUUCUGCCUUGCUCUUUCUUGAAUCACCUGCUCUGGAGGAAGCCAGUUGCAUGGGAAGACAUCCAAGCAGCCAUGGGUUGUGUAGAGAGAAACUGAGGCCUGCCAUCAGUAGCCAGCAUCAGCCUGCCAGCCAUGCAAGGAGCCAGUGUGGAAGCCAAUAUUCCAGAGCCAGUCAAGCUGACUUCUUGACUGAAACUCCAGGAGAGACCCUGAAACAGAAGGACAAAACCACUCCUGAGUUCCUGACUGAUAGAAACUGUGAGAUGAUAAAUGUUUUUGUCAUUUAAACUAGUAAGGUUUGGAGUAAUGUUUUGCAGCAAUAAUUAAUUAAAUAGUAAAGAAAAAAAUGCACUAAGAAAAAUCCAAAGUGAUAUAGGGGUUAUGAGGAAAGGUU